Molecule: ribosomal RNA, 192 nt
Filed under: uncultured bacterium
Lineage: Bacteria
Description: partial 16S ribosomal RNA
Rfam family: Bacterial small subunit ribosomal RNA
Source: RNAcentral
UCCUACGGGAGGCAGCAGUGGGGAAUUUUGGACAAUGGGCGCAAGCCUGAUCCAGCAAUGCCGCGUGCAGGAAGAAGGCCUUCGGGUUGUAAACUGCUUUUGUACGGAACGAAACGGCUCUGGUUAAUACCCGGGCUAAUGACGGUACCGUAAGAAUAAGCACCGGCUAACUACGUGCCAGCAGCCGCGGUA